This 96-nucleotide transfer RNA is filed under the name Armatimonadota bacterium. RNAcentral's name for it is "Armatimonadetes bacterium (groundwater metagenome) tRNA-Ser". It matches the Rfam family "tRNA". Rfam says of the family: Transfer RNA (tRNA) molecules are approximately 80 nucleotides in length. Their secondary structure includes four short double-helical elements and three loops (D, anti-codon, and T loops). The record is from RNAcentral. Lineage: Bacteria; Bacillati; Armatimonadota.
GGAGAGAUGGCUGAGCUGGUUGAAAGCGCUCGACUCGAAAUCGAGUAAGGGGAUGAUGAGUCUCCUUCGGGGGUUCGAAUCCCUCUCUCUCCGCCA